Orbicella faveolata is the source of this 1358-nucleotide long non-coding RNA. The record is from RefSeq and is a predicted model, not a curated record. NCBI's taxonomy places the organism in Eukaryota, Metazoa, Cnidaria, Anthozoa, Scleractinia, Merulinidae.
GCACGUUAUAUGGAAACUUUAUUAUAAAUGAUGUUAAAAAGAAUAUUUAAUAUACUACAUGUAUAACUUGUUGUUCUUUUGACUGUUAUAGUGUACCUUCAUCGUCAGUGUGAAAUAACAUUCCAAUUUCUUUCUUUUAGGAAUGCACAAAAGUGUUUCAAAAGGAGGAGGUGAAGCCUUGGCAAAGAGCUGUGAUGUUCCAUUUUUAGGUUGUAUUCCACUGGAUCUCAGUCUAACACAAUCCUUAGAAGACGCUCAAGCCUUUCCCAACUCACCAUUACACUAAAUGCAAUAACCGUAAUCACUUCCAAACUGUUAGAAAUGGAAAGCAAUGGAGAUCAGUGAUUGAAGGAACAAGUACUUUUUUUCAAAAAAUGGUUGUUGAGUAUGUGGCAUUUAUACAGUUGGACAAACGUGACUGAGAUGGCCAAGUGAUCAACCACUGGUUUUCUCCUUACAGUGCCAGUCUCUUAUCAAUCAAAUCAGUGAUGAGAAUUACAGCAAUCAUCAAUCAAGCCCUGCUCUAGUCUUUAAGGAAGAAAACAUAGAAAAAUGUGGCUUCACCCCUCUAUGGACGUUGUGGGAGCAUAUACAUGUAAACCAUGUACAACAGCCUCCUUUACAAAGUUCUACUUGUUAAAGCAAGAAAGUAUGAUUACUGAACAGCAUCUUGAUUUGGGAAAAGCUUUGUUUGAAUUUUGUGUCGAUACAUAGUUACAUAGUAUAUGCAACUUCAAUACUUGUUUUGUCUGUGACCUCUUCAGUUGGUCGCCAGUAAAGAUUUGAAUUUGGGAUAACUUCAUGUAACCAUGCAUGAAAAAUAAAACUUGAUACUGAAUAAUAACAACUGACAAUAAUAUAACCAGAUAGAAACAAUAAUAAUAAGACAGAAAUAAACCAGUAAAUAAAUAAAUACAUAGACUGAAAUAAAAAAUGAAAAUUACUUAUAGUUUAACUUGUGGUAUCAAGUUUUAUUUUUCAUGCAUGGUUACAUGAGGUCACCUUGGAUUUGAAUCUGUUAUGGGGACUAAAUUAAGAGGUCAUAAAUGAAACUAGUUUUGUAGUUGUAUUAUUGGUGCAACUGUGUGUUGAAAUAAGAUUUGAAUGUAGUUUUUCGCUAUCAAGGUGACGUUAAAUGAUUGUACUUUAAUUUUGACAAAUGGACUGAUGUUGCAGAAAUGAUGUAUAUUCAGAGAAACAAUUUGAAUGAGGUCUUUCCUAAUCCAGGUGGUUGCAAAUCAUAAUUUUACAUGGCCAGUAAUAUACCUAAGAUUCUUUGUUCAAAAACUCAUAAAAUGUUGCAGCUGAAAGGUCAAUAAAAAAUAAAAAUGGAAAUAAAUACAAGUGGUACUGCCUCA